ACUAAAAUAGUUUAAAAAAAAUAUUAAUUUUGUAAAUUAAAGUUGUUAUUUCUUUUAGUA
Molecule: transfer RNA, 60 nt
Filed under: Metacrangonyx longicaudus
Lineage: Eukaryota; Metazoa; Arthropoda; Malacostraca; Amphipoda; Metacrangonyctidae
Description: transfer RNA Threonine
Source: RNAcentral